GUCUUUCCUACAUGUAUUUUUUCUGUGGGCUUUUUUCCUCCUCUCUUUUGCUGUAUUUGUUUUUGUGGGAGAGUUAGGGACCUUCCAAAACCAUGAAGCUGUCACCUUCUUCCUUCCUUUGCCUAAUUUUUAAAUGAUCACAGGCUGCUCCAGCAACGAUGCGUGUCAAGAAUGUAUGGGGAGACUGGAAGAACAGACAUGAAGCUACUGCUAUGGUGAGGGAAAAGGAAAGAGAAAACAAAAGGAAAUUGGCUUUCAGUGCCUUGAAUGUGAAUGAAAAGAAUAGCAAUUGGAUUUCACAACCACUAAUCGUCUGGUUUGGAUAAGAAGGAUCCUUUUUGCAGUUAUCUGUCAGAGCUUGGCUAGGUGAAGAAGAUAGAUGGGCCUCAGAAAGCAAGGAAGUCUCUCUGAACUUCUCCCACCUAUUUCCCAAAGCAAACCAUCAAACCUAGGAAGGUUACACUCUGACCUACCUAUUCUGAGAGUAGGGUGUAAGACCAUCAUGUGACAAGUGUCCUGCCCCAUUCUUGGAAGAAAUGAAUACUACACAAAGAAACCAAAAGAAUGUGAACAAACAGGCCUUGUUGAGCUCAACCCCCAACUGUCAGCACCACCCCCCAGUUUGUUAAAUUAGAUCAUAUCUCCCUUUUUGUCCAAUCAUAUUUCUCUACAAUUAUCCACUUCUUUCAUCAGACAUAGCAUAAAAAUACACAGUGUCUCAGGGUGUUUGGACCUUAAUUUACGAAGAAUUCCAUGUCAUGUAAAACUCUGAUUAAAUAAAUGUUAUGCUUUUCUCUUGUUAAUUUGCCUUUUGGUACAGGAGCAUCAGCAUGAACCUAAUGAUGUUAUAUUGAACAUUAAAUAGCUCAACACUAUUUUUAAAUGGUAAUCUUAUCUAAUUAUUUAAAAUACUGAUUUGAUGUGGUCAAUGUUUAUUUUUUGUUAAACAUUUAGGUCUUUGAGAUGAUUGUGUACUUAACGAUGACACAGUACUUGAAAUCAUAAUGCAUUUAUUAAGUAUGAUGAAUAAUGUCUGUAUCAGUCUCUGAUAUUUAGUACUAGGAUUAAAAAUGCUGAGUUUUUUAGCUUUGCUUGUUGCUGAUAGACCUAAAAGGCAAUUUAAAAAUUCAUGUGGUGUACUGCAGAAAGAGUCACAAAACUGACAUUCAAAAUUCAUUAUACAGAGUCUUUGAGUCACAUUUCAAAUCUCAGUUGUAAUUUAACAGUAGAAGGUUUCAUCAAAUAUUGGGUCCCCACGAUAUGUGACUAGCAUCUCAAGCAAGUAUUCUGAAAACUGCCUCCUACACUAAGGACAUGACAAUCUCACACAAAGAAUUGUUUAUAUACUGACUUCCCAUGGCAAUGCUUUUGGUUAAAAAAGAAAAAAAAAAGAAAGGAAGAAAAGAAUGAAGAAAGAAAAGGAGGAAAGAAAAGAAAAGGAAAAGGAUUCAUCAAAUUCUCUCUAUGGCUAUCACAGUACAUGUAGGACUGAGUACAAUAGACUCUAGGGUCACAUAAAUCAAGGUAAAAAUUUGUUAAGUCACUCUUUCUGUAAAUAAUAUUAUAGUCAAAAACUGUCAAACUCCUGAUUAAAAUUUUUAACCCCAAAAAAGGAACAUUUAAGUAUAUUAACAAAAACUAGUGUUUUAUUGGAUUCAGUGAAUUCUAAGUUCGUAUGUAUUUUCAUUCUUGACACUCUGCUCUUUAAAAAGUGUUUUCAAGAAUGUAUGUCAUUUCCGUCUUUCCUCUGUUUUUCUCACAUAUCAUUCCACAUGUCCUGGAUAGGACACUGGGAUGCCUUUGUUAUUAUUAUAGGAUUUCACAUAUGAUUGUAGUAAAUAAUAUAUUGCCUAGGCUUUUUUUUUUGUAAAUACUUAAUCACAUCAAAUAUUCUAAUGUAUGAUGUGUUAGAUGAGUUCACAUGUUUUUGGAAAUGAAUAAAGCUUUUUCUUUGCAUUCAGGAAAUAAAUACAUGAUCCAACAGCCCCAAUAUAGGUAAGUAAAAUAAUUUUGAAAGAUUAUUUCUAGUUUUUAUUUUAUAACUCUAUAAGAGUUCCUAUAGUUUUUGCUGUUCACAUUACGAAAUGAUUUAUUGAUCACUCACAUUUUUACUAUCUUCAGAACACAGAAAAUUUCAUCAUCAUUUAUUUUCUCAAAUUUGGAUUUUUGUCUUAAAACUGCAUGGAAAAUGUGACCAGUGUGACAAUAAGUCCCAGUUUGUCUGAGACUAUCCAGAUGGCCAAUGUUGUCUUGGCAUGAUUACUAAUAGCAUCCCUUUCACUCUCAAAAUGUCCUGGUUUGUGAUAAUAAAUUGUACAGUCAUCCUACUCCUGAUCUAUUCAUUCGAUUUUAAAUUAUAAGAAUUUUCCAAAGUGAUAUCUAGAUAAAUAAUUGUCAUUCGUGGUUGCACAGGAAAUAAGGAGGGUAUUGACCUUGGUAAUUCCCAAAACUGUCAGGAUUGUUAUUGCUGCCAAGGUGAAACGUUUAGUGGCAAUAUUAUCCUUAAUCAUAG
Molecule: long non-coding RNA, 2512 nt
Filed under: Homo sapiens (human)
Lineage: Eukaryota; Metazoa; Chordata; Mammalia; Primates; Hominidae
Description: HSALNT0079823
Source: RNAcentral